RNAcentral lists this ribosomal RNA (436 nucleotides) under denitrifying bacterium W94a. Its description in RNAcentral is "bacterial SSU rRNA". It matches the Rfam family "Bacterial small subunit ribosomal RNA", at positions 12 to 492 of the family's 1533-position model. Lineage: Bacteria; Pseudomonadati; Pseudomonadota; Alphaproteobacteria. The record is from RNAcentral.
UUUGAUCCUGGCUCAGAGCGAACGCUGGCGGCAGGCUUAACACAUGCAAGUCGAGCGGGCGUAGCAAUACGUCAGCGGCAGACGGGUGAGUAACGCGUGGGAACAUACCUUUUGGUUCGGAACAACACAGGGAAACUUGUGCUAAUACCGGAUAAGCCCUUACGGGGAAAGAUUUAUCGCCGAAAGAUUGGCCCGCGUCUGAUUAGCUAGUUGGUGAGGUAAUGGCUCACCAAGGCGACGAUCAGUAGCUGGUCUGAGAGGAUGAUCAGCCACAUUGGGACUGAGACACGGCCCAAACUCCUACGGGAGGCAGCAGUGGGGAAUAUUGGACAAUGGGGGCAACCCUGAUCCAGCCAUGCCGCGUGAGUGAUGAAGGCCCUAGGGUUGUAAAGCUCUUUUGUGCGGGAAGAUAAUGACGGUACCGCAAGAAUAAGCC